This is a non-coding RNA of Pogona vitticeps (central bearded dragon), 253 nucleotides long. The record is from RefSeq and is a predicted model, not a curated record. Lineage: Eukaryota; Metazoa; Chordata; Lepidosauria; Squamata; Agamidae.
AUCUGGACUCAUGGUGAUUUCAAUGUUAGAAGUUAAGGCUGGCUGAGACUGCUGGGAACUGAAUUCUAAGAAGAUCUGAUUCUCCAUCCCUGCCCUAGAUUGAGAAUGUUACCCCUUUGUUAUGGAGUUCCUGGAACUGCAACUGUAGAGACUUAACUACAAUUUCUAGGAAAGAAGAGAGAUUGAGACAAGAAAAAGAUAUGAAAUUGAUAACAUUUGUGUCGUUUUCAUAUUAUUGCAUUUCCAAACCCAC